GCCACAUGAUGUUUCUGUCGGAGAAAUGAGCGCGUCGCGCGCCCUGAUGACCGUCAUCUAUCACCCUUGGCUGAUGGCU
Small nucleolar RNA from Echinops telfairi (small Madagascar hedgehog), 79 nucleotides. Its record names the gene SNORD83. It matches the Rfam family "Small nucleolar RNA SNORD83". From Rfam's summary of the family: U83 (SNORD83) and U84 (SNORD84) are members of the C/D class of snoRNA which contain the C (UGAUGA) and D (CUGA) box motifs. The record is from Ensembl. NCBI's taxonomy places the organism in Eukaryota, Metazoa, Chordata, Mammalia, Afrosoricida, Tenrecidae.